RNAcentral lists this ribosomal RNA (253 nucleotides) under uncultured bacterium. RNAcentral describes it as "partial 16S ribosomal RNA". It matches the Rfam family "Bacterial small subunit ribosomal RNA", at positions 524 to 776 of the family's 1533-position model. The record is from RNAcentral.
UACGUAGGGUGCGAGCGUUGUCCGGAAUUAUUGGGCGUAAAGAGCUUGUAGGCGGUUUGUCGCGUCUGCUGUGAAAAUCCGGGGCUCAACCCCGGACUUGCAGUGGGUACGGGCAGGCUAGAGUGUGGUAGGGGAGACUGGAAUUCCUGGUGUAGCGGUGAAAUGCGCAGAUAUCAGGAGGAACACCGAUGGCGAAGGCAGGUCUCUGGGCCACUACUGACGCUGAGAAGCGAAAGCGUGGGGAGCGAACAGG